UCGGAACGUGUCCUGUCUGGGGGAUAACUGAUCGAAAGAUCAGCUAAUACCGCAUGAGACCUGAGGGUGAAAGCGGGGGAUCGCAAGACCUCGCGCGACAGGAGCGGCCGAUGUCUGAUUAGCUAGUUGGUGAGAUAAAAGCUUACCAAGGCGACGAUCAGUAGCUGGUCUGAGAGGAUGAUCAGCCACAUUGGGACUGAGACACGGCCCAGACUCCUACGGGAGGCAGCAUG
This 233-nucleotide ribosomal RNA is filed under the name uncultured bacterium. RNAcentral's name for it is "partial 16S ribosomal RNA". It matches the Rfam family "Bacterial small subunit ribosomal RNA", at positions 118 to 353 of the family's 1533-position model. The record is from RNAcentral.